ACGCUGGCGGCGUGCCUAAUACAUGCAAGUCGAACGCACAGCGAAAGGUGCUUGCACCUUUCAAGUGAGUGGCGAACGGGUGAGUAACACGUGGACAACCUGCCUCAAGGCUGGGGAUAACAUUUGGAAACAGAUGCUAAUACCGAAUAAAACUUAGUGUCGCAUGACACAAAGUUAAAAGGCGCUUCGGCGUCACCUAGAGAUGGAUCCGCGGUGCAUUAGUUAGUUGGUGGGGCAAAGGCCUACCAAGACAAUGAUGCAUAGCCGAGUUGAGAGACUGAUCGGCCACAUUGGGACUGAGACACGGCCCAAACUCCUACGGGAGGCUGCAGUAGGGAAUCUUCCACAAUGGGCGAAAGCCUGAUGGAGCAACGCCGCGUGUGUGAUGAAGGCUUUCGGGUCGUAAAGCACUGUUGUAUGGGAAGAACAGCUAGAAUAGGAAAUGAUUUUAGUUUGACGGUACCAUACCAGAAAGGGACGGCUAAAUACGUGCCAGCAGCCGCGGUAAUACGUAUGUCCCGAGCGUUAUCCGGAUUUAUUGGGCGUAAAGCGAGCGCAGACGGUUUAUUAAGUCUGAUGUGAAAGCCCGGAGCUCAACUCCGGAAUGGCAUUGGAAACUGGUUAACUUGAGUGCAGUAGAGGUAAGUGGAACUCCAUGUGUAGCGGUGAAAUGCGUAGAUAUAUGGAAGAACACCAGUGGCGAAGGCGGCUUACUGGACUGCAACUGACGUGAGGCUCGAAAGUGUGGGUAGCAAAC
This 757-nucleotide ribosomal RNA is filed under the name uncultured bacterium. RNAcentral's name for it is "bacterial SSU rRNA". It matches the Rfam family "Bacterial small subunit ribosomal RNA", at positions 33 to 773 of the family's 1533-position model. The record is from RNAcentral.